UUGUUCCUGCAACUAGACGGUCCCAGCUGGGGGUGAUGAGAGACAGUGACAGAUCAUCAGGCAUUCGAUUUUCAUAAGGAGGGUGCAACCUAGAUCCCUCACACGCCAGGUUCACAAUAGGGUUCGCGCUCCUGUAAGAAUCGAAUGCCGCCGCUGAUCUGACGGAAGCGGGGUUCGGGUGGUCCUGCAAGUGACGGGGAGCGGCUGUAAAUACACUCACUGCAGCUCACCUGCUGUACGGUUCAGUUCCUGACAGGCCACGCCCCGGGGGUUAAGGACCCCCGGCCUAAGGACGGUCUAUCAUAUAAUUCACCUCGGCCGGGUACAGUGGCUCACGCCUGUAAUCCCAGCACUUUGGGUGGCUGAGGCGGCCGGAUCAUGAAGUCAGGAGAUCGAGACCAUCCUGGCUAACACGGUGAAACCCCAUCUCUACUAAAACCACAAAAAAUUAGCCUGGUGUUGUGGCACACUCCUGUAAUCCCAGCUACUCAGGAGGCUGAGGUGGGAGAAUCACUUGAACCCGGGAGGCAGAGGUUGCAGUGAGCUGGGAUUGCGCCACUGCACUACAGCCUGGGUGACAGAGCGAGACUCCAUCUCAAAAAAAAAAAAAAAAGAAUUCACCUCUCGAAGGGCACCUGGCAGAAGCUG
RNAcentral lists this long non-coding RNA (648 nucleotides) under Homo sapiens (human). RNAcentral's name for it is "HSALNT0255226". Lineage: Eukaryota; Metazoa; Chordata; Mammalia; Primates; Hominidae. The record is from RNAcentral.